This 2173-nucleotide long non-coding RNA is filed under the name Numida meleagris (helmeted guineafowl). RNAcentral's name for it is "lncRNA (ENSNMEG00000013773.1)". Lineage: Eukaryota; Metazoa; Chordata; Aves; Galliformes; Numididae. The record is from RNAcentral.
AUGCUCACUGGGGUGGGAUGGGGUCCUGCCCACAUCACUGAUGGGAGCGAUCCUGACCCUCAGUUCAAGGCACCUGGAGGAGCCCGUGGCCAGCCUGCCUGCUCAGCCACCAUUCUGAGAGCUUCCCAAGUUAAAGCAGGGCCUGGAACACAAAACUUUUGGGUCAGCAGGCUGAAAGAAGAGCUUGAAGACACCAAGAGACAAACAGUAUCUGCUGCUCCGCUCCCUGGCACUGCGGGGAACGUCCUGCCACCAGCAGCAGCUCCAUGUCACUCUGCAUCCACCAGGAGCGGGCAUCCUCCUCCCUACACCUGCCCUUGCCUUGAGUGGAGCUGCAUGCCUCAAGUGAGAGAUUGUCCCCAGGGAUGGUUCAUACAGACCGAGCUGGACCAAGGUGCUGGUGGUGUCUGUAUGCCUGGGACCGACGUCUCCUCGAGCUCUAUGGCAAGCAGUGCUCCCCUCCCAUCCCAUCCCAUCCCGGCAUCACCCAUGGGGCACCAACGUGACGCUGCCACUUCUGGCACCGGACACCACGUGCAGAAAAAUACGUGCAGCAGGAACACAUCUGUGGAGCUCUGCAUUGGGAACAUCACCUUCAGCGAUUUUGUGCAGCACCUCCCUGACUUCCAGCAGCUUUUUCCUGGUGCCUUUCCUUACUGCGAGCAGUGGUGGAAGCAUGGAGAGGAAAGGAUCCAAAUUCUUGUCUCAGGAUGCUUACAAGUCCUUCAGCAGUGUGAAAGUGGAGAUGAGAAAGCGAAACCCAAAGCAAAUGGAAAGCAACUUCUGGCUUCCAUGCCGUGGAAGGAUGCUGCCUUGUCUCCAGAACCAAGAAAGAUGCGCGAGAGCAGAGAGAAGAUGAGAGGGAGGCAUCCUUGAGGAGAGCACGGGGAUCGCCAGCUGCUCGAGUUGGGCACUGCAUCUGGAUGAAGGCAGAGGGCAGCCGGACCCCACGAGUUUCCAGGAAGCCCCUUGCUCUCGGGGCUGUUUGUGCCACGUUUCACGUUCCAGCUCCCACUGUUGCUUUCGUUCAACAUAUUUGCAGCGAUGAAGUCAUGGAGUGAUCUGUAACGGCCCCACGUCAUCCGGGCCUGGCUGCUGUCGCGCCCAAGAGCGUGAAUGUUCCACUCUGUGCCAUGGGGCUUGGCGGGCGCGUGCGGAGCGGGGUCACGGGCCGAGCAGCGCGGUGACUCAGGCUGCCAUGGGAGAGCCAGGGCACUGGGCUGCCCUCCCAGCGUGGGGCUGCGGUGCUGCUCUGAUUCCGGGUCAUGCCUUUUCGUUUUCAUCCAUCUGCGCUACGCAAGGGAAAAGCUAACUCAGGUUUUGCGUUGCUCUGGGUAUUGCUGGGACUCAUUAUCCCAUUAUGGGCUGGAAACUGGAACAAAAGUCGGGGAGAGCGUUGGGUCAGCCCGUACAGGGGCUGGUGUUUUUUUGUGUGUGUGCAGGGCGUGAUGCCUGCUUGCAGCUUCGCUUUGUGCUUAGUAUCUCUGUCCCAUCCCAGGUGCUCAGCUCUGGCAAUGUAAAGCCGGCAGUGCAUGAAGCAGAGAUACUAACAGCUCGGGAGUGGCCUGCAAUGCUGAGAGCCCCCUGGGAAGAGAUAAUUGCCAGUGUAAAUGAGGUCUGUGCGUGGAAGAGAGAAAGGCUGACUGCAGGGUGGGGGGCUCAGCCUGGAGGAGCAGAGGGGCAGGGUGUUGCCAAGCAGAGGGUGCUGGUAGCGUUGUGCUCGGGGCUGGGUGCUCCAGGGAUCUACCAGGAGCGAAGCUUGGCCCUGCUCCUUCUCCAGGGGGGGAAUGAGGGAUUAAAAAGAGUGGUGGCACAACUCAGGCAUCCAUCCAUCCAUCCCCCUGUUUCCUUCGUACUUGUGGAGCUGGGGGCCAUGUCACUGUCACACCAGGCUGGUGGCAGGGAGGGGUCUCCUUUGCACAGCCAAAUGCCUGUGGCUGCAUUCCACAGCUCCAGAAAGCUGCACAACGAGGGAGAGAUCAGAAUAUGCGAGCUGGAGCCUUGCCCAAAGUCUUUUGUUUUCUCGUAAUGGUUCCCUUUAAUUUAAAGCUGUUUUUCGUGUCUCUGCAGCUGCUGAGAAGCAAUGCUUUUGUAGCACUGUGAUAUCAUGACAGCUUGUAAGGACAAGAGAUGGAAAAAUAAACCUUAUUUUUGGUAUUAAAAAUGUGAUCUU